GAUGAAGAACGUAGCGAAAUGCGAUAAGUAAUGUGAAUUGCAGAAUUCCGUGAAUCAUCGAAUCUUUGAACGCAUAUUGCGCCCUCUGGUAUUCCGGAGGGCAUGCCUGUCCGAGCGUCAUUACUAUCUUCAAGCACGGCUUGUGUGUUGGGCCUCCGUCCUCCUCCCGGGGGACGGGCCCGAAAGGCAGCGGCGGCACCGCGUCCGGUCCUCGAGCGUAUGGGGCUUCGUCACCCGCUCUUGUAGGCCCGGCCGGCGCUUGCCGACACAUCAAUCUUUUUUCCAGGUUGACCUCGGAUCAGGUAGGGAUACCCGCUGAACUUAAGCAUAUCAAUAAGCGGAGGA
Molecule: unclassified non-coding RNA, 345 nt
Filed under: soil metagenome
Description: partial contains 5.8S ribosomal RNA, internal transcribed spacer 2, and large subunit ribosomal RNA
Rfam family: 5.8S ribosomal RNA (bases 1-120)
Source: RNAcentral